CACAUGUAAAGAAAUUGUGGCGAGGGGGCAGCACAAACUGCGCUGUGGUUCAAUUGCUUCGUAUGACUGCUGCAACAACUAGCCUACGGAUUUCGAGCCAGUUCUGCCACGUGCUUCUCUGACCUUCCUGUCGUCUGCAAUGGCAAACUGAAAGGUCCCGGACCCAGACGCAGCCUGUCCCGCCUUUGGGAAAUCGCAUCACCUCUGUCGGCUAAAUGACGUGGAAGUCUGGGCAGACGACUGAAUAAAACC
Molecule: long non-coding RNA, 252 nt
Organism: Brienomyrus brachyistius
Lineage: Eukaryota; Metazoa; Chordata; Actinopteri; Osteoglossiformes; Mormyridae
Exons: 3
Source: RefSeq, a predicted model, not a curated record